Talpa occidentalis (Iberian mole) is the source of this 721-nucleotide long non-coding RNA. RefSeq lists it as uncharacterized. The transcript has 3 exons. The record is from RefSeq and is a predicted model, not a curated record. NCBI's taxonomy places the organism in Eukaryota, Metazoa, Chordata, Mammalia, Eulipotyphla, Talpidae.
CCCCCAAGCUCCAUUUCCGAAUGAACAAUGCAGAAUAGAAAAAUUAUAUUCAAAACUGUGUGGGCUGUGAAGUUAGCCAUGACAAAUAUAGAGAGACUGACAGGAUGUAUUCUUACAUAUCGACGUUAAUAUUAUCCUUUCUCCCUUGGUGGGGCCAUCUUGUUUCUUUAGUCACGGUGUCUGGGGCCAAUAGACUUUCAAGACCGCCCCCAAAUAGUUAAGAUAUGGAAAGCAAGAUACAUUGACUUCAAAAUUCGUUUAAAGGCAAAAUUUAAAAGUGGGAGAAGUCAGGAAAAGGAAGAAGAGAAGGAAGUGGAGAAUUUCCUUUCACAGCAAAGUCACCAGCAGGUUUGCUGAAGAGUUCCCUGAAGAACAAGCUGGUUCAACUGAGAUUCCGGCACCUCCAGAAUGUGACUCUAGUUUGGACAAAGGUAACAAGGACAAAGAGGAAGGAAAGGAUCCAUAUGAUUAAAAAAAUCAACAGACUUUGAUGAUAUGACACAAACAGAGUCAUCCAUGUUGCCUCCUGACCUGUGACUCAGGACUGGAAAGAAAACUUGGGGGGGGGGGUGGUUGGUACAUAUGGGAGGAUUGACUAAGCCAGGUUUUAGCCACCUUCAGAAGACACUGCAUCCUGGCUCCUAGCUGGCCUUCAAUUACGACUGUUCUAUCCUGGAAGGAAGCAGAAGUGGUUGAGGGGAUGCAUACUGUAGCUACUGAG